CCAUGCUAUGCUCAAAAGGUCUAUAUCUUUUAAAAAGCUUUCAAAGCCAGUUUGGUAUAAUGUGGUAGAAUAUGCCUGGAGAUGUUAAUUUUGUUUUCACUGAAACAGUCUUUAAGAUAGAGAACUUGGAGAUUUCUUCACAGGGUACCAUUUUAAGUGGAAAACAGUGGAAAGACAGCUGAUUUCAGGCCAAGGUUGGAUUUUUCCAAACGCCUGCAUGAAAGCGUGUCCCAGAGGCCAGCAGCCUUGACAGAGGCGUGCAGCUGCACCACGGCCUCUCCCUGUGCGACGUAACAAGGCUCGGAGCCAAAAAGGGUCACAUAUGGCUACAUCCAGGUGCCAACUUUUUGUCACACGCCCGCUGCUUGCGUCGGGCAGGAGUGGGAGGAUGUCCUGUGUCAUUUUGCCGAUGCAGUUUGAGGGACUGCGGCCAAAAAAAAGGGGAAGGACGAGGGAGCAAAGUCACCAAGGCUCCAGGUAAGAGCUGUUUUCCCUGUUGUUCUUAGGGCACCGGGACCUGCUCUUCCCCCCGGCAUCAGUUUGCAGGGGGACAGCUCCGUGCGCGGUGAGGGACAGGGAUCCUGGGCAGGUGCGUCCCUCCGCUCUGGCUGCAGGGGACGGGGGUGUCCCAGCCGGGUCCCCUCUCCCGGCGGCAGCGCCAGCCCGAGCUGUUUUGGGGAAUGGUGCCCCACGCCCCCCGCGCUGCUCCCCGCCGGGACGGGCUGCGGGGACGGGCGGGCCGGCGGGGCGGGCACGGCAUCCCGGGACGGCAUCCCGGCACGGCACCCCGGGACGGCAUCCCGGCAAUGUGUCCCGGCACGAUCCCCCGCCGCCUCCCGCAGCCCCCGGCACGGCCGCGGCUCCCGGCGCAGCGCGAUCCGAGGGCAGGGAGCUCCAGCGCCGGGUGAGGGCGGCGGCGGCGGGCGGGGGAAGCCGGGGCCGGGCGGGGUUGGCUGCCGGGGCUGGAUCGGCCAGGCUGCCGGCAGGGAACAUCCCACAGGAGCGGUGGGGUGGCUCCUGCGCUCACAGAGCGUUCCCGGCGACGCGGAGUGCCCAGGAGGCUGUUUCUUUAAAAAGAUGUUUUCAAGAUUGAUUGGUAUCAGGUGUUCACUGCCAUGUGCUGCAGGUGUUACCAUGGUGACCACUCCACUCCUUCAGAUGUUGCUAUGA
Molecule: long non-coding RNA, 1170 nt
Filed under: Catharus ustulatus (Swainson's thrush)
Lineage: Eukaryota; Metazoa; Chordata; Aves; Passeriformes; Turdidae
Description: lncRNA (ENSCUSG00005002417.1)
Source: RNAcentral